RNAcentral lists this ribosomal RNA (136 nucleotides) under uncultured bacterium. Its description in RNAcentral is "partial 16S ribosomal RNA". It matches the Rfam family "Bacterial small subunit ribosomal RNA", at positions 355 to 509 of the family's 1533-position model. The record is from RNAcentral.
UGGGGAAUAUUGCACAAUGGGCGAAAGCCUGAUGCAGCGACGCCGCGUGAAGGAUGAAGUAUUUCGGUAUGUAAACUUCUAUCAGCAGGGAAGAAAUGACGGUACCUGACUAAGAAGCCCCGGCUAACUACGUGCC